Molecule: ribosomal RNA, 245 nt
Filed under: uncultured Actinomycetales bacterium
Lineage: Bacteria; Bacillati; Actinomycetota; Actinomycetes; Actinomycetales
Description: partial 16S ribosomal RNA
Rfam family: Bacterial small subunit ribosomal RNA
Source: RNAcentral
UGGAUUAGUGGCGAACGGGUGAGUAACACGUGAGUAACCUGCCCUUCACUUUGGGAUAACUCCGAGAAAUCGGGGCUAAUGCUGGAUAUGGCCUUGGCCCGCAUGGGUUUUGGUGGAAAGUUUUUCGGUGGGGGAUGGGCUCGCGGCCUAUCAGCUUGUUGGUGGGGUAAUUGGCCUACCAAGGCGUCGACGGGUAGCCGGCCUGAGAGGGUGGACGGCCACAUUGGGACUGAGAUACGGCCCAG